UCUAUAUAGUAAAUAGCUUUAUCACAUGAGUUAUCUUUACUAGCCUCAGAAGACAAGACGUUGCAGAAGGGGACAUUACAAUGGUGGCAACACCGUUGGUUGCCAAAAAGCACACCAUUUAUAAAAAAAAAUAUUAGUUUUUUUGAAAAAAUAAAAAAAUAAAUGGAAUGGAACGUUGUAGCAACGUUGCCAGUGUCUCUAGCAACCUCCAUAUAAAAAAUUAUGUUGCGAUGUCGAACUUGUCAUUUUACUCUCCACCACUCAGGCUAUAAAACCCACGUGACCUUACCUUACCUACUUUCUGGCAAGAGUGGAAAUUUCAGAUGCCACAGCUUGAUGGCUACUCCUGACCAUGCUGGUGCAGCUGACUGCCCGAGCAUCCUCGACUCGACAUCGCUUUUGUGCUCGUUGUUGAACAUAUGAUGGCUGUCAUGGUGACAAUGUCUAGUGACCUUUCUGAUUCUCAGUCACAAAUGUGUUAAAACGAAAACCCUUUGUGCUAUUAAUGCAACUUGAGAUUGCAUGAACAUGUAUUAAAUUUAGUGGCCCUUUUUUCCCUUUUGCCUGAAAUGGCUCUGGAAUUUUGCUUUUAAACGUUUGAUUAUCUAAAACUCAUUGAAUGGAGUCCUCUUGUUCGCUAGAAAAAUAGUUGCCAAUGAAUAACAAUUGGUUUUGGGCUUCUUCAGAUCGUUUGCAUGUCUCAAUGAAUAUGGAUCGUUAAUUAUA
Humulus lupulus (European hop) is the source of this 726-nucleotide long non-coding RNA. RefSeq lists it as uncharacterized. The transcript is spliced from 3 exons. The record is from RefSeq and is a predicted model, not a curated record. NCBI's taxonomy places the organism in Eukaryota, Viridiplantae, Streptophyta, Magnoliopsida, Rosales, Cannabaceae.